RNAcentral lists this long non-coding RNA (1192 nucleotides) under Danio rerio (zebrafish). RNAcentral describes it as "si:ch211-231b5.9 (ENSDARG00000104182.2)". The record is from RNAcentral. Lineage: Eukaryota; Metazoa; Chordata; Actinopteri; Cypriniformes; Danionidae.
CUUCAUUUAUCCAGCUUGUAGUGAUACUAAAGCACCAAAUGUAGCUUACAACUGGAAGGUAAAGCAAAUAUUGCGAGUAUUGAUGUGUCAUGUAAGAAAUGAAACGCGUUGGACAUUUCGCGCUCAAGACCGAAACUCGCCUUACCUGUGCUGGUUUUCCGGAAGUCAUAAAACAAAGACGACUCCAAAUAUAAAACAUUAACCGUCGUGACUUCUACUAAACUGCAUACUAUGAGUAUUUCAUCACUUCCCUGAGGAUUGUCUGAUAAGUAUAACACGCCAGGUGUUGUUAAACCGUAGGCGACGUGAGCAGCGUGAGUUUCAGACAAACAAGUCGGAUCUGACGCUUUCACAGGAAGUUUGCGCAGAGAGAUCAGAUGUUCGAGUGCUACAUUUGUGCAGCUGUCGCCAGAUGUAUACAUUCCCAUUGAAUUGUAUACUGAGCGCAAACCUACCAUCUGCAUGUGCUGAUGGGAAAGUCUGUGUGGAGACACGACUAGCGAUAAAGGAGACGAAAAAAAACAAUAGCAACAAUGAGUAACUGACUGACCCUUUUGCUGAAUCAAUCCCAUUGGCUCCAGUGUUUGAGCAUGAGUGCCGCAAAUAAGAAUGAACCUGUUUGUCUUUCCUGGGAUCAGUAAACAUCCUCAACACAAACAGCAGUGUGAGAGAAAGAAAGUCACACCACCAGGGCAGCUGCACUCUCACUGUAUGAGUCUUUUGAUGUCUGUAGGGGUGAACUGAUAAUGAAGGCUCCUACGUCUUAAUUCUUUUAAUUGUCUUUGUCGUGGACAGGAAUCAGACUUACUGUAACACAUUUUAUUUUUCCAUUUUCCAAACCACUUAAUCGAGGAUCCACUUGGUAUAUGAUUGUUGAUUAUUUUCUUUUAUUUCAUUUUAUUUAUCUAUCCAUUUCAACCACUUUUUACAAUUGUUAUUUAUUUUCCAUUGCCCAUUGUACAGUCAGCUUGUUCUGGAUAUAUGCCCAUUCCUUCACAUCUUUUAUUUUGAACAUAGCCCAUCAUUUAUCACAGUUGUAUUGUAUUUAUUACAAUUUAUUUGAUUAUUUUUUAUUGUUUUUGUUGUUCAUUUAUCCAUCCAUUUACCAAACCACGUUUUCUGGACAGAUGGUAUAAUGACAGAUUGUUUGUUUAUUUUUUUCUCAUUUAAUUUAAUACAUUCAUUCAUAUCA